AUACAAUGCAACCCCACACCAUCACAAACUUGAGUCAAAGCCCAAGCACAAGCAAUUUGAAUAACUUAUGUGAAGGCCUAGCAUUUGAUAAUGAUGCCAUAAGGGAUAUGAAUAUACAAUCCACUCAGUAGAAUAAAAUAAAUUCUUAACAGGGUUCUCGUGCAAUAGCAGAAGUGCAGCCACCUGUUAGAUUCUUGGCUCAUGAACCCAACUCAGCUACCAUCCCAUACCAACAAUUGAAUACGGAAGAGAGAAUAGAAGAAGAAGGAGAAGGAAGAUAGAAGCAGAGAAUGAGAGAGAAUAGAAAUCUGAGGGAGAAAAUGAG
This 325-nucleotide unclassified non-coding RNA is filed under the name Hevea brasiliensis (rubber tree). The record is from RNAcentral. Lineage: Eukaryota; Viridiplantae; Streptophyta; Magnoliopsida; Malpighiales; Euphorbiaceae.